Molecule: ribosomal RNA, 253 nt
Filed under: uncultured bacterium
Lineage: Bacteria
Description: partial 16S ribosomal RNA
Rfam family: Bacterial small subunit ribosomal RNA
Source: RNAcentral
UACGGAGGAUCCGAGCGUUAUCCGGAUUUAUUGGGUUUAAAGGGUGCGUAGGUGGCCUGUUAAGUCAGUGGUGAAAGUUUGCGGCUCAACCGUAAAAUUGCCAUUGAUACUGAUGGGCUUGAGUACAGAUGAGGUAGGCGGAAUGUGUCAUGUAGCGGUGAAAUGCAUAGAUAUGACACAGAACACCGAUUGCGAAGGCAGCUUACUAAGGUGUAACUGACACUGAGGCACGAAAGCGUGGGGAGCGAACAGG